RNAcentral lists this ribosomal RNA (260 nucleotides) under uncultured bacterium. RNAcentral's name for it is "partial 16S ribosomal RNA". It matches the Rfam family "Bacterial small subunit ribosomal RNA", at positions 795 to 1052 of the family's 1533-position model. The record is from RNAcentral.
CCAUGCCGUAAACGAUGAUUACUAGGUGUGGGCGUGAAAACGUCCGUGCCGUCGCAAACGCAAUAAGUAAUCCACCUGGGGAGUACGGCCGCAAGGCUGAAACUCAAAGGAAUUGACGGGGGCCCGCACAAGCAGUGGAGUAUGUGGUUUAAUUCGAAGCAACGCGAAGAACCUUACCGGGUCUUGACAUCGUGCGCAUAGUGUAGAGAUACAUGAAGUAGUCCUUAGGGACUACGCAUAGACAGGUGGUGCAUGGUUGU